Molecule: long non-coding RNA, 626 nt
Filed under: Fukomys damarensis (Damara mole-rat)
Lineage: Eukaryota; Metazoa; Chordata; Mammalia; Rodentia; Bathyergidae
Description: lncRNA (ENSFDAG00000022937.1)
Source: RNAcentral
AGUUUUAAAAUCCACAUCAAUUCUACUUGAGAACAUUUUCCUGUGAAACCAUUUAUGCCUGCAGAUUUCUUUUGGGGGACAUUUUAAAAUUAUAAUAGGUAAAGGAGCCAAAAAACCAGGACCAGAUCAAGACUACAACAAGACUUUAUUACAGGGAGGAUCUUCUGGGCAGUCUCCUAACAAAUGAAAAGCAGCAUGGAGGAACAGGGAGCUUUUAUAGGAGCAGGGUAGGGUUAACCUGAGCUGGGUGGAGUUGAGAGGUAGCAUUAAGGGAUUGGAAGAGCCUGUGACAUCACUAGGAGGGGCUUGUGACUGGGAGGUAGCAAGUAUUAGGUUACUGUUAUGGUGGGAAGAGAGGCAUGAUGGGAGGAAGGCUGUCCCUUGGUAGGAGAAGCCAUAUUUAACAUGGAGGCUGCUAGUCCAUGUGGCAGCCAUUUUAAGGUGCAGAGCAUUAUGGGAAGGAGGCUACUGUUUUAUGUAGCCGCCAUUUUUGAGGGCUUUCUGUAGUGUAGAAAAGGAGAAACAUCAGAAUCUACCUUCCUUUUCCUAUGGUAGGACUCACUGGCAAGUUACUUCCCAAGAGGGUAAGUACACAUUUUUGGGAUCUGUCUCCUUCACAUUUCACC